CACGGGGGGAGCAAGCGUUGUUCGGAAUCACUGGGCGUAAAGGGCGUCUAGGCGGUACGGUAAGUGGGAUGUGAAAGCCCCCGGCUCACCCGGGGAUCUGCAUUCCAAACUGCCGAACUUGAGUAUGGGAGAGGACAGGGGAAUUCCUGGUGUAGCGGUGAAAUGCGUAGAUAUCAGGAGGAACACCGGUGGCGAAAGCGCCUGUCUGGCCCAAUACUGACGCUGAAGCGCGAAAGCUAGGGGAGCAAACGGG
This 253-nucleotide ribosomal RNA is filed under the name uncultured bacterium. Its description in RNAcentral is "partial 16S ribosomal RNA". It matches the Rfam family "Bacterial small subunit ribosomal RNA", at positions 524 to 776 of the family's 1533-position model. The record is from RNAcentral.